AUUGAACGCUGGCGGCAGGCCUAACACAUGCAAGUCGAGCGGAUGAAGGGAGCUUGCUCCUGGAUUCAGCGGCGGACGGGUGAGUAAUGCCUAGGAAUCUGCCUGGAAGUGGGGGAUAACGUCCGGAAACGGGCGCUAAUACCGCAUCCGUCCUGAGGGCGAAAGUGGGGGGUCUUCGGACCUCACGCUAUCAGAUGAGCCUAGGUCGGAUUCGUUAGUUGGUGGGGUAAAGGCUUACCAAGGCGACGAUCCGUAACUGGUCUGAGAGGAAGAUCAGUCACAUGGGAACUGAGACACAGUCGAGACUCCUGCGGGAGGCAGCGGUGGGGAAUAUUGGGCGAGGGGGGAAAGCCUGAUCCAGGCAUGCCGCGUGUGUGAAGAAGGUCUUCGGAUUGGAGAGCGCUGUAGGUUGGGGGGAAGGACAGUAAGUUAAUACCGUGCUGUUUUGACAUUACCGGCAGAAUAAGCACCGGCUAACUUCGUG
This 484-nucleotide ribosomal RNA is filed under the name uncultured bacterium. RNAcentral's name for it is "partial 16S ribosomal RNA". It matches the Rfam family "Bacterial small subunit ribosomal RNA", at positions 30 to 507 of the family's 1533-position model. The record is from RNAcentral.